Non-coding RNA from Agrilus planipennis (emerald ash borer), 46 nucleotides. The record is from Rfam. Lineage: Eukaryota; Metazoa; Arthropoda; Insecta; Coleoptera; Buprestidae.
AAAACGGCUCUUUUGAGAGCCACAAUUUUAUUCAAAAUCGGUUUAU